This 497-nucleotide ribosomal RNA is filed under the name uncultured bacterium. RNAcentral's name for it is "partial 16S ribosomal RNA". It matches the Rfam family "Bacterial small subunit ribosomal RNA", at positions 28 to 507 of the family's 1533-position model. The record is from RNAcentral.
GACGAACGCUGGCGGCGUGCCUAAUACAUGCAAGUAGAACGCUGAAGAGAGGAGCUUACUCUUCUUGGAUGAGUUGCGAACGGGUGAGUAACGCGUAGGUAACCUGCCUUGUAGCGGGGGAUAACUAUUGGAAACGAUAGCUAAUACCGCAUAACAAUGGAUGACACAUGUCAUUUAUUUGAAAGGGGCAAUUGCUCCACUACAAGAUGGACCUGCGUUGUAUUAGCUAGUAGGUGAGGUAAUGGCUCACCUAGGCGACGAUACAUAACCGACCUGAGAGGGUGAUCGGCCACACUGGGAAUGAGACACGGCCCAGACUCCUACGGGAGGCAGCAGUAGGGAAUCUUCGGCAAUGGGGGCAACCCUGACCGAGCAACGCCGCGUGAGUGAAGAAGGUUUUCGGAUCGUAAAGCUCUGUUGUAAGUCAAGAACGGGUGUGAGAGUGGAAAGUUCACACUGUGACGGUAGCUUACCAGAAAGGGACGGCUAACUACGUG